UGUUAGUGGCUUGCAAGGCAGAGCAGACAGAUGGACGUGCUCGGGAAGCCUAUUGAUCAGCCCUUGGUGUGACCUGCCCAGACCUGGUUCUGUUUCAAGCACUGAUCACGUGGACAAGGAGUCCUUAAUUCCUCUCAGCACCAUUUGAGAUGAGCAACUACACAAGACAAAGACGAAAGGCUUUUUCAGCUCAAAAAUCCUGUGAUUCUUUGAUUCUAAGAAGAGAUUUUCUUACAAGGAGUUUGCCUAAGUGUCCACACGGCUUGUGUCUCCUCCCAGCAGCCGGCCUGCUGGUGUGUGUGCUGUGUGUGGAGAGUGGCCUUAGGCCUGUGUUGUGAGUGAUGUCUGCAGAGCAUGGGGUUGAUUUGGAAGAAGGUGUGAUCCGAAGUUGUGUUUGACCUGAGCUCCUGUCACCCCUGAAGGCAGCAGAGGAUCUCCUGUCAGUGACCCAGGAGGACAGCUUUCUGAAGGACAUUCUGCCCAUUGCACAGAGGGGCUUUUGUGAUUGGUUUGCCCAGAUGUGACUUUUUCCCCUACCUUUGAAGGCCUAGAUUGGGUUUCCCAUUUCUUGGCCCUUUGGAAAGGCCAAUGGCUCCCUGUCUGACAGGCUGCCCUGAGCAGCAGGUGCUCCAUUUAGACCCAGGCUGCCCCAAUCCCAGCUCUGAUCUGACUCUCAGCUCUGAGGCUCCAUUGAGUCCCUGGGCCUCAGGGACCCUGUUCAGGCUUUGCUGAUGGUGGCAUCAAGUGACCUCCGAGCCACCUCCACGUUGGCUCAGACUGAGGAAACUGGUGAUCUUGUCUUGCUGUUUGCAAUACUUGAAGACAAAAACAGAACUUGUGCUGCAUUCUCAAGAAAGAAGAGACAACUGUUCCUGUACCUCACUCUUGUAGAUAUCUGUAUGAAGAAGCAGUGAUGGGUGCAUGCAAGCUAGGGAGCAUCAAGGCUCCCACUGCGUGGGCGCCAGCUGACCCCUGACCUCGUUUUCAUCUGUUGCUCUGGUCAUGGCUCUGAGAUCUGGGCAACCUGAGCCAGCUUGUGCAUUCCUUACCCUUGUGCUUUUGCACUAUCCAUCCCUGUCCCCUAGAACUCCCUCCAGUACAGUC
This 1104-nucleotide long non-coding RNA is filed under the name Homo sapiens (human). RNAcentral describes it as "HSALNT0300237". The record is from RNAcentral. Lineage: Eukaryota; Metazoa; Chordata; Mammalia; Primates; Hominidae.